AACGAACGCUGGCGGUAUGCUUAACACAUGCAAGUCGAACGAACAAAAUUGGGGCUUGCUCCAAUUUUAGUGAGUGGCAAACGGGUGAGUAACACGUGGGAAUCUACCUAUCAGUACGGAAUAACAUUUGGAAACAGAUGCUAAUACCGUAUAUUCUCCAAGGAGGAAAGAUUUAUCGCUGAUAGAUGAGCCCGCGCAAGAUUAGGUAGUUGGUAGGGUAAUGGCCUACCAAGCCUACGAUCUUUAGCUGGUCUGAGAGGAUGAUCAGCCACACUGGGACUGAGACACGGCCCAGACUCCUACGGGAGGCAGCAGUGGGGAAUAUUGGACAAUGGGCGAAAGCCUGGUCCAGCAAUACCGCGUGAAUGAUGAAGGCCUUAGGGUUGUAAAGUUCUUUUAGUUGGAAAGAUAAUGACGGUACCAACAGAAAAAGCCCCGGCUAACUCCGUGCCAGCAGCCGCGGUAA
Molecule: ribosomal RNA, 466 nt
Filed under: uncultured bacterium
Lineage: Bacteria
Description: partial 16S ribosomal RNA
Rfam family: Bacterial small subunit ribosomal RNA
Source: RNAcentral